Molecule: ribosomal RNA, 255 nt
Filed under: uncultured bacterium
Lineage: Bacteria
Description: partial 16S ribosomal RNA
Rfam family: Bacterial small subunit ribosomal RNA
Source: RNAcentral
CGGACGGGUGAGUAACGCGUGGAAAACCUGCCGUAUACUGGGGGAUAACACUUAGAAAUAGGUGCUAAUACCGCAUAAGCGCACAGCUUCGCAUGAAGCAGUGUGAAAAACUCCGGUGGUAUACGAUGGUUCCGCGUCUGAUUAGCUAGUUGGUGAGGUAAAAGCCAACCAAGGCAACGAUCAGUAGCCGGCCUGAGAGGGUGAACGGCCACAUUGGGACUGAGACACGGCCCAGACUCCUACGGAAGGCAGCAG